GUCUACGGCCACACCACCCUGAAUGCGCCUGACCUCGCCUGAUCUCGGAAGCUAAGCAGGGUCGGGCCUGGCUAGUACUUGGAGGAGAGACUGCCUGGGAAUACCGGGUGCUGUAGGCU
Molecule: ribosomal RNA, 119 nt
Filed under: Cebus imitator (Panamanian white-faced capuchin)
Lineage: Eukaryota; Metazoa; Chordata; Mammalia; Primates; Cebidae
Source: RNAcentral